CAUUCUCAUAUUCAGGCACUCAGAUUCUACUAAAAGGCUUCCUGAUGUUUCCUCUUUGGGGUCUAGGAUUUGCCUGGCUGAUUUUUGGCUUGACCACUAAUUCUGAGCCUGCAGUGGGAGCUAAUGCAACCUCCAGAGAGGACUGUAAUCAAAGAGACUGCAAUGGAAUACAGUAUGACAUCCGAGAGGCUGUUUGCUGUGAAAAUAAGCUUCACCCUGGUGUAAGUCUAUUUUGCUGUGGAAAGGAGCCUUACAAUCCUGGAACAGCCACUUGUUGUAAAAUACGACAUGGACACAGCACCACAGCUGUUACACAGGGUCUAAGUGAAAAUGUGUCCAAGUGCUGUGACCUGAAGGCGUACAACCCAGUCAAUGAAAUAUGCUGUCAAUCAACCAUCGUAGCAAAACCUGGACCAAUGGCUGAAUGCUGUGGUAAAGAGGCUUAUGAUAAGGACAAGCAGUUGUGCUGUGGUCCGACUGAGAGCAAGAUGAUUCUGAUGAGGAAUUCCAGUCACCACCAGUGCUGUGGUCACAACCAGUAUGACACAGAGACUCAGUGCUGCUGUUCAAAUGAGGAAAGCGUGGAGAUACAAUCAAAGGAUUCAUCCUGUUGUUUCAAGGACUUUGGUGUAUCUGCAGCUCCUUUAUGUGGAAAUACGACCUUCAACAUACAUACGCAUUUAUGUUGUCAGUCAACUGUUGUUGCCAAAUCUUCACCACAGCACAGAUGUUGUGAUAAAGGGACAUAUGAUGUGGAAAAGGAGCUGUGUUGUGGUCCAAUUAACGAUAAGAAGAUCCUUAAAAGGAACUCUACAGAUCACCAAUGCUGUUAUCAUGACCAGUUCAACACAAAGACUGAGUGCUGUUGUUGGAAAAAGGAAAGUGCUGAAGUACAAUUGAAGAAUUCAUCUUGCUGUUCAGAGGAGUCAGCUGUGUUUGAAGGUCAAAGCAAGUCCAAGGUGGAUAACCAAGUCUGCUGUGAUGGCUGUGCAUCUGUGCAGAAGCCUUGGAUUAAUCAAUGCUGUGGAGAGACGCCGUAUGGCUCGGCACAGCGUGGAGUUCUCUGUUGUAAUAACAUCUUGUACGAGAACAGAGAUGAUGGAGAGGAAUGUUCAGAGACUGGUAUUCCUUACAACCUGGCUAAAGGGACUAUAUGCUGCUCUCAGUUUCACGGCAGCCCGGGAAAACACUGCUGUGGGACAGAAAUUUACCAUCCUGAUGCUGAGAUCUGCUGCAACGGACACAGACAUUCCAAAUCGAAAAAUAUUCACUGCUGUGGGAUUAAAGCCUACAACAUUAAAGACCCACAGAUGAAGUGCUGUGCAGGAACACUGUACAAUCUGACACUGUUAGAUGAGCAUGGACAGGAUGCACAGUGUUGCGGAUCCCUUCUGCAAAAGCAACAGGACAUUUGCUGCUCAAGUGAGGACAGAGAAGUGCUAUACUCUGCUAGGACAGGAUUCAGAUGCUGUGGUCACCUCUACUUCAACACCACCCUGUGGUCAUGCUGUGCCGAGCGGCUGAGAUCAAUCCAUGAACCAGGACAAGAUCAGAGGAAGAUGAGUAAUGAAUCCAGACUUCAAUCAGUGAAUAAUAUGAACAAAACUGAUCUUUGCAAAAAAAUGCGCAUCGGGACGGUGGAAAGUGUCUCUCUGCAUAGCAUUGUGUUCAAGAGCGUGCUGAAGAUCCGUGGGAAGAAGGCCAAAGUGAAAGCGUUGCCUUUCCCUUAUAUCUUGAAAACAGAUGAUCGCUGCAGCUCACCCAAACUGAUUCCUGGGAAGACCUACUUCUUUAACAAAGUUAAUGUUUUCACCGAUUCCAACCAUGACACUGUUCUUCAGUCACUCCACUUCAUUUUUUCCAAGUGUUCACCUUAGAUCACCAGUCGCUGAUGGAUACAUAUUACUUCUUACUCACACACCGAUUUACAUUUUUUCAUAACAGCUACUACAGAGAUGCGUUGUCACAUAACGGUCUGUUACCUCUAAAACAAUCAACCUUAAAGGUACUCAUCCUCAUAAAAAAAUUUCAACCUGACGUUUUACCAGCGAUACCAGUGGCAAAGUUGGUGAAAACCAACCCAAAGAGAUCUUUUCAGUUCAUCAUUGCUUUUCUUACUCAUUCAGACUCAAAAUUUGACCUGUUUGCUUCGAUUAGCAUGCACUCACCUUGAACAUUGCUCUGGAUCCCACAGAUCUUCAUGAGCUUUACUGAUCUUUAUGUUACUUUUUCAGAUUUUUGAAUAGGUUUGAGUUUGCAUUUGCAGCAGUGUUGCACUGCCAAAAAUUUUAGGCCAGUCACUUUUUUUUUCUACAAGAUGAGAUCAGUUAUUGUUGCACAAAUAACAGUUGGAGUUUUUUUGUUUGUUUAUUUUAAAAUUUUCUAUUAUACAGAUUAUGUAACUUGAGUAAAAACAAAAACACAGCUGGUUUGCUAGUAGCAGGCAACCAUUUACCUUAUUUAGAGACAAUGAUGCACAAUAUUACUGCAAUACAGACAAAUGUGAUGCGAGUAUACAAUGCAUUACUUUUUAUAUCACACCCACACUGCUUACUUAUUUCAUUAAGAAAAUCGCAUUGUGUUUCCAAAACAGCAGUAUCAGUUACUAGUGAUAUUACUUAUACAUUGUUAUCAAUAUAUUAUACAUUGUUUUUCAAAUAUUGUUUCACUUGUUACAUUACUCUGCUUGUAUUCAGCCAAACCAUGUUCCUCUUUGGUUUAAGAUGCCCCCAAAAGUCUCAUCACUGUGAGACUUUAUGUAAAGAUGUUUGAAAUGAGUAAGAACAAUGUACUUCAAAGUGUAAUAUUUACUGAACUUCAUAUUGUAGUCAGUCACACAACUUAAAGUAAUAACUGAGUGUAACACAGCCAAUUGGUACACAGUGUUGUUCAAAUCUAAAUCUGUAAUAUAUGCAAUAAUAGAAUAUGAUCACCAACUGCCAGUCUGAAACAAAAAGAAAAAGCUAAAGAAGCAAACAGUAUAUCAAAGCUUGUGCGAGUCUGGGAUCAGCAGUAACUGAUACCUUAGCAGUCAUUAUAGCAGGUAGCACACAAGAAUAGCAUACAGCUCUGUGCUCAAGCUACGCUGCUAUUAGCUAAUAUGGUCUUUAAAUAUUGGGGAUUAUUAUUUUUAUGCUAUUCUGAUUCUUGCACUAAACUAAAUUAUAAAUGGCGACUGUUUGCACAUCAUUAACCCAUAUAGUUGAAUUUAUACAUGUUCUAUUAAUGGCAUUCUCUUAUUUUUAUUCAUUAAGCUACUAGAUGUACUCAACUUGGCAUUUAUCGUGAAAUAUGCUUUAAGGACCCAAAAGACCACCCAGAGGUCACAUUUAAAUGUCUUGGGUUUGUUUACUUGUAACUACUCAUUUUUGUUCUCCUUGGUUUAAGCUACAUUUUUUUAUUCGGAAUAUGUUUGGCAUUUAUUUCACUGUAUGUUUCUUCACAAUAUAUAAGACACACCUUUAACCCAGAGAAACCCUGGAAAUGUUGAAGGCACGCAAUUUUAUAUUUUGCAUGUUUUAGUGAAAUUGUAGGAAGUACUGUCUUUUUAAGGAUAAAGCUUUGAAUAAAUAAAUAUAACAGCAUGUUGUGUUUUAUCUUAUUGAAUUGAUGGUCUUUAGGUUGGUCUUGCGAUUUAUUCAUGGAUCAAAAGAUAGUUCCAGCUGGAGAUGAAAUGAAUACAGAAAUACACAGAAAGUAGUGACUCUUGUGCCAAAAAUCCCCUGAAAUAUAGAUUUCAAAGUGACCUUUGAAAUUGACCUGGCCUCUUGUCCCCAGGCAACAGCUGUC
This is a long non-coding RNA of Oreochromis aureus, 3789 nucleotides long. The record is from Ensembl. NCBI's taxonomy places the organism in Eukaryota, Metazoa, Chordata, Actinopteri, Cichliformes, Cichlidae.